This 2946-nucleotide long non-coding RNA is filed under the name Exaiptasia diaphana. RNAcentral's name for it is "uncharacterized LOC110241152". The record is from RNAcentral. Lineage: Eukaryota; Metazoa; Cnidaria; Anthozoa; Actiniaria; Aiptasiidae.
UUGAAGACAGAAUGGGAAACAGUAGGUUCCCUGGAGCCUUGCCUUCAUUUCUUUUGUAUGCCUGGUCAACCAGAAUAUCGAAAAUGGGCUAUUUGUACAUUGAGCCAAAGGACCCCUCCACAUGAGAUAGGGUUGGAUCGCCAAGGUUGUAAGACCUCUUGUUUUCAAACAGUACUAAUGUUUUAUUAAUCAGUUCUAUAUCGGCUGAUAUAGAUUCAAUCAUGUGACUUAAUGCUUGAUCCUGAUUGGAUUAAUAGCUCAUGAAUUAUUAAUGAGUUUGAUAAAUGAACUUGUUCAAUAAUCUUAUCACCAAGAGUGUAUACCAUUAUUCAGAUUACCACAGGAAGCCCACGCAUGCGAUCUGAGAUCGUCUAGUGUUCUUUACAAAAAACAAGCAAAUAAUAAUUUUCAUUGCGUGAAUAAAAACACGCAAAUCUUUGCUUAUGUAAAUUUUACCUCAUUAGCAUAUGAAUUUCUCUUUUUUAAACACAAAAUCAUCCAAUUAUAUGGCAAAUCUAAACGUAUUAGGAGUAACCACAUGCGCUCCUUGAGCGACUUUAAUUGCUGUUUGGAGUGCGCCGGAGACGUUGUCCAAGAAUCCCUUGGAUUUAGUCCGUUUGAAUAAAGACAGUUUGCUUAACCUCAGCGCAGAUAUGAAUCUAUACUCAACUUUGUUUCUACUUACAAAGACCGCCUACGUAAAGCCUGUAAUUACGCCAAAAAGAACCUUGAAUCGUCACAAAUCAGCAUGAAAACGUGGUAUGACCGCAAAUCCAGACAACGCGUCUUUAAACCUGGUGACUGACAAACUUCUUAAAUGUUGCUAUCCGUUACAAAUCAUUCACUAAAUUCGAACUAAAUACAAGUUACUCAUCUUCCCUACACUACAAUAUUGUCAAGAAGGUUAGUGACACUGAUUAUAUAAUUAGCACUCCUGAUCGAUGUAAUAUCACUAGACUUUGCCAUGUUAAUAUGUUAAAACGUUUCUUUGAAAAUGAAAGAGAGGAAACAGUUUUAUCUAGUUAUUUGCAGGGAGAAGGCGUACAAGAAGAAAGAUUGGAGUAUGAAAAUAUCGCAACAAGCCCCACGGCUGCCGAACUCGCAAAUUCUAGACAGUCUGCAAGAUAAACUUUCUCAUUUACCGGAAGAGUAUUGUGAUUUUAGGAAAGUCUAUGAAUUAACCAAAACUGAUUCGUUUCCAAUCUGCACCGACGGAGUUGUCACCUUGCACGUAGUGGUGCGGCUUGCGUGCCCCUUUGACCCCUAGAGCUAUAUCGGCUGGAGCCAUAGGUUCCUGUUGGGGUCACCCAUGCCGAACAGGUCGAAUGGUAGGUCCUGACAAAGAGUGACUCCCUGGUCCUCCAGGUUGUGGGUUUGGCGUUGGGUUAACAACUCAACCCUGUUAAAAAACUUAUGUUACGGAAACCAACGCAACUGUAGAAACUAAUGCUGAAGGCCCACCUGUUGAUGUAUGCAAACCUCCUGAAGAAUGACAACUGCUGAUGAAAGGCUACUGGAAGUCAGAAUGGGGAUGAACAACAUAGUUGGGCCUAAGAACAAAAUACGACUGGGGACAUGGAACGUUGGGACUAUGUACGCAUCCAAAACAGCUCCUCAAGGAAAUGGAGAAUUACCAACUAGACAUUCUUGGAAUCAGUAAGCGGGUGUAGAUGGACAGGCGUGGGUGAACAAGUAACAAGCAAUGGAGCAGUCAUCCUCUUCUCAGGACACCCUACCAUGCAAGCAUGAACAUGGAGUCGCAAUCAUUGUGUACAAGACGAUAUGUAUAAGACCUUGUUGGAAUGGGAGCCCAUCAGAUUGCGGCCUUAUGUUCCACAGGGGAUGAAGAGGAUUGAUUGAUUGAUUCGUUUCCAGUACCUCAUAUUGAAACCUGCAUUGAUCAAAUUGGUCAUGCUACUAAUAUUCCUAAGAUUGAUUUAUUAAAAGGUUACUGGCAGAUACCGCUGACUGAAAGAGAAAAGGAAAUCUCCGCUUUUGUUACCCCAAGACGAUUCAGAACAGAGUAAUGCCAUUUGGUCUCAAGAAUGCGCCUGCUACGUUUCAGAGAUUAAUGAAUAAUGUAAUAGUAAGUAUAUCCAACUGCGAUGUAUAUAUUGAUGAUAUAGUUCUCUAUCAUUAUAAUUGGCAGGAUCAUAUGGGCUGGAGGACGUCUUCAGAAGUUUAACAUCCGCGGCGAAGUUUGAUUUUUGAAGAGCAACUAUCACGUACUCAUAGGGCACGAAGUUAGGCAGGGUAAGGUAAGGCCAGUGCAAGCCAAAGUCGAAGCCCUAGUCCAGUUUCCAGUCCCCACGACUCUAGAACAACUCUUGCGUUUCCUUGGAAUGGCCGGAUACUACAGAAAGUUUUGCGGAAACUUUACAAAGAACGACCUUUCGAGCUGAUGGUAGACGCGAGUGAUGCCGAUUGCGGAGGAGUACUACUGCAAGACUAUGACAGUGGAAUUGACCACCCCGUCAGCUAUUUCUCCAAGAAGUUCAAGCCUGCACAGAGAAACUACUCAACAAUCGAAAAAGAAUGUUUAGCCUUGCUGAUAGCUUUGCAGUACUGUGAGAUCUACGUUGGUUGUUUUGAAGCAGAACUUUAUUGAGGUCUACACUGAUCAUAAUCCAUAAUCCAUUGACGUUUAUCAAAGAUGAGGAACAAGAAUCGGAGUUUGUUGGCAUGGUCUUUGGUACUACAAGAGUACGACCUCGUGAUAAAGCACAUGAAAGGAAAGGACAAUGCCAUAGCCGACUCGCUGUCCAGUGUAUCACUAUAAAGACCAAGAACUGAUCAGUAUAAUAUAAUUUUGAAAGUAUGAUCUAUAGUAGAGUUUAAUAAGUAAAAAUUGUGAUGUAAUAACAUUACUAAAGAAAAAGAAAAACAGUACAAAUUAUAUUAACUUGAUAUGUAGAAUGAAGAACAUUACAGUGCACUGAAACCUUA